CUAAAUAGCGAGGAAUAGGGUGCUCUUGCGUAACGUCUUGAGCUUAAAAGGGAAGUCCGGUGCAAUACCGGCGCGGUCCCGCCACUGUAACAGCGGAGUUUUGCGCAAUAAAGCCACUGGCAUGAUGCCGGGAAGGCGAGCGCAGCGAUGAUGAUGCUGGAGCCAGGAGACCUGCCUUAUUCUAUACACUGCA
RNAcentral lists this non-coding RNA (193 nucleotides) under Paenibacillus sp. Lineage: Bacteria; Bacillati; Bacillota; Bacilli; Caryophanales; Paenibacillaceae. RNAcentral also lists the same sequence under 1 other name. The record is from RNAcentral.